UACAGAGGGGGCAAGCGUUGUUCGGAAUUACUGGGCGUAAAGGGCGCGUAGGUGGCCUUCUAAGUCGAACGUGAAAUCCCUGGGCUCAACCCAGGAACUGCGUCCGAUACUGGAAGGCUUGAAUCCGGGAGAGGGUAGUGGAAUUCCCGGUGUAGUGGUGAAAUGCGUAGAUAUCGGGAGGAACACCAGUGGCGAAGGCGACUACCUGGCCUGUUCUUGACGCUGAGGCGCGAAAGCUAGGGGAGCAAACGGG
Molecule: ribosomal RNA, 253 nt
Filed under: uncultured bacterium
Lineage: Bacteria
Description: partial 16S ribosomal RNA
Rfam family: Bacterial small subunit ribosomal RNA
Source: RNAcentral